This 251-nucleotide ribosomal RNA is filed under the name uncultured bacterium. RNAcentral describes it as "partial 16S ribosomal RNA". It matches the Rfam family "Bacterial small subunit ribosomal RNA", at positions 793 to 1055 of the family's 1533-position model. The record is from RNAcentral.
GUCCACGCCGUAACGAUGGAUACUAGCUGUUCGGCGCAAGUUGAGUGGCUAAGCGAAAGUGAUAAGUAUCCCACCUGGGGAGUACGUUCGCAAGAAUGAAACUCAAAGGAAUUGACGGGGCCCGCACAAGCGGAGGAGCAUGUGGUUUAAUUCGAUGAUACGCGAGGAACCUUACCAGGGCUUAAAUGGGAGACGACAGGACUGGAACAGUUUUUCUUCGGACGUCUUUCAAGGUGCUGCAUGGUUGUCGU